This 253-nucleotide ribosomal RNA is filed under the name uncultured bacterium. RNAcentral describes it as "partial 16S ribosomal RNA". It matches the Rfam family "Bacterial small subunit ribosomal RNA", at positions 524 to 776 of the family's 1533-position model. The record is from RNAcentral.
UACGUAGGGGGCGAGCGUUGUCCGGAGUUACUGGGCGUAAAGCGCACGCAGGCGGUCUGCUAAGUUUGGAGUGACAGUUGGUGGCUUAACUGCCAAAGUGCUUCGAAAACUGACAGACUUGAGGGCUCCAGAGGAACACGGAAUUCCGGGUGGAGUGGUGAAAUGCGUAGAGAUCCGGAGGAACACCAAAGGCGAAGGCAGUGUCCUGGGGAGUACCUGACGCUCAGGUGCGAAAGCCAGGGGAGCGAACGGG